This 497-nucleotide ribosomal RNA is filed under the name uncultured bacterium. RNAcentral's name for it is "partial 16S ribosomal RNA". It matches the Rfam family "Bacterial small subunit ribosomal RNA", at positions 28 to 507 of the family's 1533-position model. The record is from RNAcentral.
GAUGAACGCUGGCGGCGUGCCUAAUACAUGCAAGUCGAGCGAACAGACGAGGAGCUUGCUCCUCUGACGUUAGCGGCGGACGGGUGAGUAACACGUGGAUAACCUACCUAUAAGACUGGGAUAACUUCGGGAAACCGGAGCUAAUACCGGAUAAUAUAUUGAACCGCAUGGUUCAAUAGUGAAAGACGGUUUUGCUGUCACUUAUAGAUGGAUCCGCGCCGCAUUAGCUAGUUGGUAAGGUAACGGCUUACCAAGGCAACGAUGCGUAGCCGACCUGAGAGGGUGAUCGGCCACACUGGAACUGAGACACGGUCCAGACUCCUACGGGAGGCAGCAGUAGGGAAUCUUCCGCAAUGGGCGAAAGCUUGACGGAGCAACGCCGCGUGAGUGAUGAAGGGCGUCGGAUCGUAAAACUCUGUUAUUAGGGAAGAACAAAUGUGUAAGUAACUAUGCACGUCUUGACGGUACCUAAUCAGAAAGCCACGGCUAACUACGUG